CCACUUUACUGGGUGUCGUCGCAAACCAGGACUUUUACUUUGAAAAAAUUAGAGUGUUCAAAGCAGGCCUUUGCCCGAAUACAUUAGCAUGGAAUAAUAAAAUAGGACGCGCGUUCCCAUUUUGUUGGUUUCUGAGAUCGCCGUAAUGAUUAAUAGGGAUAGUUGGGGGCAUUUGUAUUCCGUCGUCAGAGGUGAAAUUCUUGGAUUGCCGGAAGACAAACUACUGCGAAAGCAUUUGCCAAGGAUGUUUUCAUUGAUCAAGAACGAAGGAAGGGGGAUCGAAAACGAUUAGAUACCGUUGUAGUCUCUUCUGUAAACUAUGCCAAUUGGGGAUCGGUACAGGAUUUUUAAUGACUGUAUCGGCACCCGAAGAGAAAUCUUUAAAUGAGGUUCGGGGGGGAGUAUGGUCGCAAGGCUGAAACUUAAAGGAAUUGACGGAAGGGCACCACCAGGUGUGGAGCCUGCGGCUUAAUUUGACUCAACACGGGGAAACUCACCAGGUCCAGACACAAUAAGGAUUGACAGAUUGAUAGCUCUUUCUUGAUCUUGUGGUUGGUGGUGCAUGGCCGUUCUUAGUUGGUGGAGUGAUUUGUCUGGUUAAUUCCGAUAACGAACGANACCUUAACCUGCUAAAUAGACCAGCCGGCUUUGGCUAGCUGCUGUCUUCUUANAGGGACUAUCAGCGUUUAGCUGAUGGAAGUUUGAGGCAAUAACAGGUCUGUGAUGCCCUUAGAUGUUCUGGGCCGCACGCGCGCUACACUGACAGAGCCAGCGAGUCUNCNACCUUUGCCGGAAGGCAUGGGUAANCUUGNGAAACUCUGUCGUGAUGGGGAUAGAACAUUGCAUUA
RNAcentral lists this ribosomal RNA (848 nucleotides) under Rhodotorula sp. N14-C. RNAcentral describes it as "SSU rRNA". It matches the Rfam family "Eukaryotic small subunit ribosomal RNA", at positions 718 to 1591 of the family's 1831-position model. Lineage: Eukaryota; Fungi; Basidiomycota; Microbotryomycetes; Sporidiobolales; Sporidiobolaceae. The record is from RNAcentral.